GAUGAACGCUGACAGAAUGCUUAACACAUGCAAGUCGAUUCAAUUUACCUUCGGGUAAUGAGGAUGGCGGACGGGUGAGUAACGCGUAAGGAACUUGCCUCUUGGUCCGGGACAACUGUUGGAAACGACAGCUAAUACCGGAUAUUAUGAGAUUCUCGCAUGGGAAACUUAUGAAAGCUAUAUGCGCCAAGAGAGAGCCUUGCGUUCCAUUAGCUAGUUGGUGGGGUAACGGCCCACCAAGGCGACGAUGGAUAGCCGGCCUGAGAGGGUGAACGGCCACAAGGGGACUGAGACACGGCCCUUACUCCUACGGGAGGCAGCAGUGGGGAAUAUUGGACAAUGGGCCACAAGCCUGAUCCAGCAAUUCUGUGUGCACGAUGAAGGUCUUCGGAUUGUAAAGUGCUUUCAGUUGGGAAGAAGAAAGUGACGGUACCAACAGAAGAAGCGACGGCUAAAUACGUGCCAGCAGCCGCCGUAA
RNAcentral lists this ribosomal RNA (478 nucleotides) under uncultured bacterium. RNAcentral describes it as "partial 16S ribosomal RNA". It matches the Rfam family "Bacterial small subunit ribosomal RNA", at positions 28 to 523 of the family's 1533-position model. The record is from RNAcentral.